AGCUCCAAUAGCGUAUAUUAAAGUUGCUGCGGUUAAAAAGCUCGUAGUUGGAUCUCAGUCUUUGUUUUAAGGUCUGCCUUGAGGUAGUACUUUAUAAACUAGACAUCUUGCCGGCUCUCUCGGCUUGCACUUUAUUGUGUGUGUCGAGGGACUGGCGCGUUCACUUUGAAAAAAUUAGAGUGUUCAAGGCAGGCGUCACUAGCUUGAAUACAUGAGCAUGGAAUAAUGGAAUAGGACCUCGGUCCCUAUUUCGUUGGUUUUAUGGACCGAGGUAAUGAUUAAGAGGGACAGUUGGGGGCAUCCGUAUUUCGCAGUCAGAGGUGAAAUUCUUGGAUCUGCGAAAGACGAACAAGUGCGAAAGCAUUUGCCAAGAGUGUUUUCAUUAAUCAAGAACGAAAGU
RNAcentral lists this ribosomal RNA (400 nucleotides) under phytoplankton environmental sample. Its description in RNAcentral is "partial small subunit ribosomal RNA". It matches the Rfam family "Eukaryotic small subunit ribosomal RNA", at positions 587 to 990 of the family's 1831-position model. The record is from RNAcentral.